AAAUUGAAGAGUUUGAUCAUGGCUCAGAUUGAACGCUGGCGGCAGGCCUAACACAUGCAAGUCGAACGGUAACAGGAAACAGCUUGCUGUUUCGCUGACGAGUGGCGGACGGGUGAGUAAUGUCUGGGAAACUGCCCGAUGGAGGGGGAUAACUACUGGAAACGGUAGCUAAUACCGCAUAACGUC
Molecule: ribosomal RNA, 186 nt
Filed under: Escherichia coli
Lineage: Bacteria; Pseudomonadati; Pseudomonadota; Gammaproteobacteria; Enterobacterales; Enterobacteriaceae
Also listed under: 1 other name
Description: partial 16S ribosomal RNA
Rfam family: Bacterial small subunit ribosomal RNA
Source: RNAcentral